This 4720-nucleotide unclassified non-coding RNA is filed under the name Leishmania donovani. RNAcentral describes it as "gene:LdHU3.15.1650(CDS-product:Eukaryotic_transla tion_initiation_factor_4_gamma_type_2_putative)". The record is from RNAcentral. Lineage: Eukaryota; Euglenozoa; Kinetoplastea; Trypanosomatida; Trypanosomatidae.
GCACGGCUUCGACGUAUCCCCACAGCUUAUCGUCACGCCUUGCCUACCGAAGCGCGAUUCGAGGGCACACACACACACACACAUACGCGUAAACCAUGGAGCACGCAGGUCGUGGUGUGCUGUUGCCAGCGCGGCGGUGCAGCUCGGUGCCGAGGAAUCUGGAGGGAUCACGCAGCAGUCCGAGCUCUUUCUACGCCUUCCCGUCCACCCUCAACGACAUCCUGUUCGGUCCCCGGCAGCGCCUCACCAAGUACGCAGACGGCAUGCAGGCCUUGCCGUACGCCAGCUCAGCACCCACUAUCGAGGAGGCGGAGGUCGCCGCUGCCGGUCCACGCGCCGACGCACGAGUAGAAGACGCGGCCGCUGCAGCAGCCACCGAGGCCGUCAAGUCGCGCUCCCGGGAAGCAACAGAGAAGCAGGCGGCAAAGGAAGAGGUCGUGACGGUGGCACCGGCCGAGCAGGAAGCCGCCGACAAACCUCUCGAAGAGGACUUUGCUGCCGCCGUGGUUGUUGCUCCAGCGGAGACUGAGAGCGCGGCGACAGCGCAGAUAGGGGCGGACGCGCCGGACGACGCUGCAGCGCCCACUGCAGCCGACGAGGCUGAAAGCACGGCAAAGGAAGAGGAGGGAGGUAAAACAGACGCUUCGCUCGACUACGUUGCCGAUGAGGCACCGUCACGUAGCUUCGCAGUCGUCACCGCUGACGAGGCGGAGAAGGACACUGCCACAAAGGAUGACGCUGCUGCUGCUCCUGCUGCGGAAGUAGUAAGCAGUGCCGGCAGGGCCGACGGGAAGACAGUGCCCGAGGCGGCUGCAGCAGAGCAGGAGGAGGGAUGUGAGACCGCUGAGGAAGCACAGAGGUCGUCCGAUGCCGCCACGAGGGUAGGCGCGGAAGAGCGGGAGACCGCCGCGGUGCCGCAAAACUACGGCCGGGAUGAGGCGACUGCGGUGGCAGCGGAGCCGAGUGCUGCGCCAGAGGACGAGCCGCCGGCGGAGCCACCGCAGCUGCGCACCACGUGUGAGAUGGUGGCCUUUGAUGCGGCGCAUAUCGCCGCGUGGAUGAUGGAGUACCGCCAUGAGACGGCGCACGUCCCUCCCGGGGUGCAGCGCUUCGUGCACGAGUUCAACGAGCGAGCGGCCAAGUUUACGCCGCUGCGGAUGGGCGGCACGAGCCCGACUCCGAGUGCCAUAGGAGCUGCCGCAAAGAAGGGGAAGAAGGGCAGCCUAAGUCUCAGCUCCGUCGGCAGCUCGAAGACUGGGAUCGGCGCGCUGGCAGACCUGCCCAGCCGGGACGGCGGCGGGUUCGGCUCCUCUGCUGCCCUGCGCACCGGCACCAGCGUCGCAGCGAAGAAGUCGAAUGCGCUGGAGGCGCUCGGUGAUGUGUGGGAGGGCCGCCAGGAGGCACCGAUCUCGCUCGCGCAGGGCUCGCUGCGCCGCCGGGGUCUGUUCGGCGAAGUGGAGAAGAAGAAGAUCCACCACAUGGUGGUGGCGGUGCUGAACAAGGUGACCACCGACCCGGUCAAGUUUCGCGAAGUCAAGAACGAGCUGCUUCGCCUACCCAUCCCCGAGGCAAACGCGGAGCAGAUGACGAAGAUCGUGGACGCCUUCUUCACCAAGGCGGUGCGGGAGCAGCACUUCAGCCACAGCUACGCCGACCUCAUCGCGGCCCUCUGCAAGGUGCCGCAAGGACAGCACAUCGUCGGUGACAAGACACAGAGCCUUGAGUACCGUCUGCGCAUGGCUUUGUUGAAGCGCUGCCAGGCCGAGUUUCUGCAGAGCAUCCGAGCUGAGGAGACGGACGCGUCCAGUCCGACGACGAUGUCGACGGCGGCGGACGACGUGUCCUCCCCGCUGACGUCCGCCAUCGAAGGCGCUCAGGCGAUUGGCGGCGAGACGGAGAAGGAGCGUCGCGACCGCAUGUGUGGCAACGUCCGAUUCGUGUGCGAGCUGUUCCUGCGCGAUAUCGUCGCCGCUUCUGUUAUUUCCGUCAUCUUCCGCAUCUGCUGUCUCGGCUCCGAGUUCGGAGAGUUUGCCGUGCCGCCGUCGUACACACCAACGGAGUCGCAGGUGGACGAGAUUAUCACCGUCGUAAAGACCGCCAAGAAGCGCUACUUUGUACACUCCGCAGAGGGGCGCCGGAUGCUGCCGCAGCUGCUGAGCCAGCUGGAGUACUGGGUGAAGCACUAUGCCAUCAGCCGCUGCCGCUUCGUGCUCAUGUCUACGGUCGAUGACCUGCGGGCCAUGCUGCCCAAGGAGCCGGCCUCGCCGAUGAUGAGUGGUACGCCGAGUGUGGCGGCUUUCGUGACGCCUCAGCUGACGCACAUCUCGCCGACGCAGUCACCGCCGCCUUGCGACGUCUCUGAGCAGGGGGUGGUCUCCGCAGUCUCACCCGCCCCGCUGUCGGUUACAGCGGCGUUGCCAGUAGUCACUGCGGCAGACGCGAGCGGGCAGCUGUCGAUGAGCUCCACGAUGGUGGGUGGGCAGCCUCUGCCAGCGCCACGCAGUAAGCAGGUGGGCAGUGUGAGUCUUAGCGACUCAGCCGGCUCGAUCAACGGCAUGGCCGCCACCGAGUCUCCUGUUACUGGCGCCAUCACACGCCCCACCGUCACGCUAACGUCGCGGUCAACUCUUCAGCACGUGCGCCCUGAGGCUAUCGCGAAGCUGAUGGCGGCCUUCUCCAGUGGCCAAUGCAGCGCCGAUGAGGUGGCCGCGCAGCUCUUCGACACGUACGGCAAUGUGCUGCCGGCCCUCGGGGCGUGGAUGGACCGCUGUCUCUCCGUUGUCAAGGAAGAGAAGACACGCAAGCAGACCGGCGCCGUGCUUGUCGCCUGCGUAGAGCAGCUGACGGCGCACACGAACGCGAGCAGCGAGGAGGCGGCGGAGACGGUGGCGAUGUGUCGCGAGCAGCUGCACGAGGCCGCCAUGGAGGCCCUGCAGCGUGCCAUCGAAGGUAAGCUCUACGAGGACCUCCACGUCUUCCAGUUCUGGGCGCAACUCGUCCUGUCCGACCACGCGCGUGUCGUCUACGACGAAGAGCUCCUGAACGAGGGCCUCGAGCUGCUCGUGUACACCGCUCCACCCGCCGUGCGCAGCUACCUCGUCGAAGUAGGAAAAUACAUGACACAUGUGCUCGUCGCCCCGGAAAAGCUGCCGUGGCAGGCGUCGACGGAGGCGCAGUGCUUCGUGCGGUACCGACCGCUGCUUGUGCUGCACAGUCUCGUGAUGUCCGGCGGCCCCAGCGAGGCGCAGGCGCUGCUCGAUAACAUCGUCGGCUUCAGCGACGUGCGACAGCAGUCGCUGGAGUUGCGGCUCUACCACGCCUUCCGCACCGGCUCACCUUCACGAGAAGUCAUCUUCGAGCAGCUGCGCACGUCACCUCGGACGACGAGCCGCGACUCGACGCUUGCUGCGGAGGUGCUUAGCGCGCUUCUCAUCGCAGAGCUGUGCUCCAACGGUGAUGCUCUCGUGGAGGACAGCAUGGACCUCCUUCAAAUCACCGUCGACGGCGUGGCACGCGCGGAACGCGAGAUCGCCGUUGUGACCGAGGUCUACGAGAUUCUCCGCUACACGCCUCGCCCCAUGACGAUGUCGGCCGCAGCCCGAGUGCUGCGCAAGUUUGUGUGCAUGCACAUUGUGUCCGACGAGACGAUGGAGCGGGCAGAUCGCUUUUACGAGGCGGAGCGCGAUGGUGCCAUCGAGAAACCAACCCAAGAGGGCGGCCACGCGCUGGCUGCACCGCCGAGCGCCGAGUACCCGCGUAUCAUGGAUCGCCGCGGCACCGAUGACAUCCUGCUCAGCGGCAGCAUUUCUAUGCGCUCCGUGAACGGUGCAGUGGCUACGAAUAGCAACGGCAACGGCAACAACGGUGGCGGCGUUGGCGGGGGAACGGGGUCUGUGGAUGGAUUGCAGAGCUCCAACGCCAGCAGCUUCGGUGAGUUCCGCCCCCGCGACAGCCACCCACCGCGCCGCGAUGCAGACAGCGAGCACACCAGCAGCCGCCACUCGGAGCGGCAGCUGUCACCACGGCGGAGCAACCAGAGCAACGGCUCCUUCCAGACAGCACGCGGCGACGGGGGCAGCAGCAAGCGACUGUACCGCAACUCCUACAAGAACCGUCGCCGCAGCCAAGGAGAGGGCGGAAACGAGCGGCACUCCAGGGCAGGGGGCAGCAAAGACGAAUCGCUGCAGCAGCAGCCCACAGGGUCGUUGUCGACGUCAUCGAACUACGCUAGUAGUCACGAUGGCAGCCGCCACGGCGGUGGGGGUCGCUACGACCGUCAGCACGGCGGCUCGCGCUCCGGGCGAGGCAGCGGCCACUUUGACCGUGGCCGCGGCGGUAGUGGUGGUAGCCGCGGCAACGGCACCGCACUUCAUCGAGGGGGUGGCGGCGGUGGCAAUGGUCGCGGCAUUUUGCGCGAGGACUCGCGUCGAGGCACCGGCGGUGGCGGUGGCAAGGCUGAGUAAUGGUGCGGAUCUGAGUCGAUGUAUUUUGGUGCUGGUGGGGAACGUAAGGUUUGCAAAGUCUGGCCGUUGGGCUCUAGCUUCUUCUUUCGUAACUCGUGCUGCAGCUGUCUCCCUCGGCGUUGCGUCUUGCAGCUGCAUUGAAGCCACGCACACACACACACACACACACACACACACACGCAGAGACGCGGCUGUAGCGAGAGCGAUGAGCUCCAGUGCGUGUGUAUGUGUGUGUAGCAGCUCGCAGCUUUACAAGU